GCGCGGAAGAUGUAACGGGGCUAAACCAUGCACCGAAGCUGCGGCAGCGACACAUAGUGUUGUUGGGUAGGGGAGCGUUCUGUAAGCCUGCGAAGGUGUACUGUGAGGUAUGCUGGAGGUAUCAGAAGUGCGAAUGCUGACAUAAGUAACGAUAAUGCGGGUGAAAAACCCGCACGCCGGAAGACCAAGGGUUCCUGUCCAACGUUAAUCGGGGCAGGGUGAGUCGACCCCUAAGGCGAGGCUGAAAAGCGUAGUCGAUGGGAAACGGGUUAAUAUUCCCGUACUGGUGGUAACUGCGAUGGGGGAACGGAGAAGGCUAGGUUGUCCGGGCGACGGUCGUCCCGGUUCAAGCAGGUAGGCAGAGUGAUUAGGCAAAUCCGGUCACUUAAUGCUGAGAUGUGAUGACGAACCACCAAGGUGGUGAAGCAAUUGAUGCCCCGCUUCCAGGAAAAGCCUCUAAGCUUCAGGUUACCAACAAUCGUACCCCAAACCGACACAGGUGGUCAGGUAGAGAAUACUCAGGCGCUUGAGAG
Molecule: ribosomal RNA, 533 nt
Filed under: Salmonella enterica subsp. enterica serovar Braenderup
Lineage: Bacteria; Pseudomonadati; Pseudomonadota; Gammaproteobacteria; Enterobacterales; Enterobacteriaceae
Description: partial 23S ribosomal RNA
Rfam family: Bacterial large subunit ribosomal RNA
Source: RNAcentral